CCUACGGGGGGCAGCAGUGGGGAAUAUUGGACAAUGGGGGCAACCCUGAUCCAGCCAUGCCGCGUGUGUGAAGAAGGCCCUCGGGUUGUAAAGCACUUUCAGUGAGGAAGAACGCCUGGUGGUUAAUACCCAUCAGGAAAGACAUCACUCACAGAAGAAGCACCGGCUAACUCCGUGCCAGCAGCCGCGGUAAUACGGAGGGUGCGAGCGUUAAUCGGAAUUACUGGGCGUAAAGCGCGCGUAGGUGGCUUGAUAAGCCGGUUGUGAAAGCCCCGGGCUCAACCUGGGAACGGCAUCCGGAACUGUCAAGCUAGAGUGCAGGAGAGGAAGGUAGAAUUCCCGGUGUAGCGGUGAAAUGCGUAGAGAUCGGGAGGAAUACCAGUGGCGAAGGCGGCCUUCUGGACUGACACUGACACUGAGGUGCGAAAGCGUGGGUAGCAAACAGGAUUAGAUACCUGAGUAGUC
RNAcentral lists this ribosomal RNA (465 nucleotides) under Vreelandella stevensii. RNAcentral's name for it is "partial 16S ribosomal RNA". It matches the Rfam family "Bacterial small subunit ribosomal RNA", at positions 338 to 795 of the family's 1533-position model. The record is from RNAcentral. Lineage: Bacteria; Pseudomonadati; Pseudomonadota; Gammaproteobacteria; Oceanospirillales; Halomonadaceae.